GCCUCGAUGGCGCAGAAGGCAGCGCGUGAGUCUUAAAUCUCAAGGUCGUGAGUUCGAUCCUCACUCGGGGCA
Ciona savignyi (Pacific transparent sea squirt) is the source of this 72-nucleotide non-coding RNA. NCBI's taxonomy places the organism in Eukaryota, Metazoa, Chordata, Ascidiacea, Phlebobranchia, Cionidae. The record is from Rfam.